This 1209-nucleotide long non-coding RNA is filed under the name Homo sapiens (human). RNAcentral describes it as "HSALNT0170930". Lineage: Eukaryota; Metazoa; Chordata; Mammalia; Primates; Hominidae. The record is from RNAcentral.
UUAUGGUAAUAAGACCUCCACGCAGUUCCUAAACUUUACCCCAACACUAAUCUGUUCAGACGACCUUCAGCCUAACCUGAACCUGCAGACCAAGCCCGUGGACCCGACCGUGGAGGGGGGCGCGCAGGUGCAGCAGGUGGUCAACAUAGAGUGCGUGUCCGACUUCACGGAGGCGCCAGUCCUCAACAUUCAGUUCAGACUUGGAGUUCUGGGAAACAGAUGAAUGGGGAGAAGUGAGGCACAGGGACGUCCUGCCUGAGUAUGCGGCCCUGGCCUGUCCUCCUGUCUGUGGGUGACACUGGACACUGAGCCACACACGAUCCGUGGGGACUGAAGGCUCGGCCCCCCGACCCGCUCUGGUGGGUGGCAGUAGAUCGGGACGCUUCUCACUCCAGGCUCUUUCCCGGUCCCUGGGGCUCUCAGAGGAGUAGCUGACUGUCUCUUUCUGCUGCUGCUGCUGCUGGCAGGUAUGGGGGCACCUUCCAGAACGUGUCUGUGCAGCUGCCCAUCACUCUCAACAAAUUCUUCCAGCCGACAGAAAUGGCUUCUCAGGAUUUCUUUCAACGUUGGAAGCAGUUGAGCAAUCCACAGCAGGAAGUGCAGAACAUCUUCAAAGCAAAGCACCCAAUGGACACAGAAGUCACCAAAGCCAAGAUCAUUGGAUUUGGUUCUGCACUUCUUGAAGAAGUUGAUCCUAAUCCUGCGAAUUUCGUGGGAGCUGGAAUCAUCCACACGAAAACCACCCAGAUUGGAUGCCUGCUGCGCUUGGAGCCGAACCUGCAAGCCCAGGUCAGGCCCUCAGGAAAUGGUGGAACACACUUGAGUUGCUUUUUAUUCUGGCACAAUGUACGUGGUGAGAUGUGUAGCUCUUUAGUGCAGUUCAGUCAGUUUUGACAGAUGUUGUUUAACCACCACCCUGUCAAUACAUGGUUGCCUCCCAGCCUCCCCGCAGCUGGCCACCGUGGAGCAUCAUCCCUAGUGCAGUUCAGUCAGUUGUGACAGAUGUUGUGUGCCUGUUUAACCACCACCCUGUCAAUACAUGGUUGCAUCCCAGCCUCCCCACAGCUGGCCACCGUGGAGCAUCGUCCCACCAUGGAGCAGCCUGGCCCUGGGCGGUGGCUCUCCCAGCUGUUCCUCUCUGUCACCGCGUUGUUCCUUCUCACCACGUCCCGUUCUGGCGACGGACACCUGUCUCCGUUUCACUUGGGU